GGCCCGGUAGUUCAGUUGGUUAGAACGCCAGCCUGUCACGUUGGAGGUCGAGAGUUCGAGUCUCUUCCGGGUCGCCA
RNAcentral lists this transfer RNA (77 nucleotides) under Clostridiales bacterium. Its description in RNAcentral is "tRNA-Asp". It matches the Rfam family "tRNA". From Rfam's summary of the family: Transfer RNA (tRNA) molecules are approximately 80 nucleotides in length. Their secondary structure includes four short double-helical elements and three loops (D, anti-codon, and T loops). Further hydrogen bonds mediate the characteristic L-shaped molecular structure. tRNAs have two regions of fundamental functional importance: the anti-codon, which is responsible for specific mRNA codon recognition, and the 3' end, to which the tRNAs corresponding amino acid is attached (by aminoacyl-tRNA synthetases). tRNAs cope with the degeneracy of the genetic code in two manners: having more than one tRNA (with a specific anti-codon) for a particular amino acid; and 'wobble' base-pairing, i.e. permitting non-standard base-pairing at the 3rd anti-codon position. The record is from RNAcentral. Lineage: Bacteria; Bacillati; Bacillota; Clostridia; Eubacteriales. RNAcentral also lists the same sequence under 1 other name.